CCUACGGGUGGCAGCAGUGAGGAAUAUUGGUCAAUGGACGAGAGUCUGAACCAGCCAAGUAGCGUGAAGGAUGACUGCCCUAUGGGUUGUAAACUUCUUUUAUAUGGGAAUAAAAUGUUCCACGUGUGGGAUUUUGUAUGUACCAUAUGAAUAAGGAUCGGCUAACUCCGUGCCAGCAGCCGCGGUAAUACGGGGGGUGCAAGCGUUGUCCGGAAUCAUUGGGCGUAAAGAGUUCGUAGGCGGCACGUAAAGGCUGGUGUUAGAGGCAGAGGCUCAACUUCUGUACGGCACUGGAUACUUGCGAGCUAGAAUGCGGUAGAGGUAAAGGGAAUUCCUGGUGUAGCGGUGAAAUGCUUAGAUAUCAGGAGGAACAUCGGUGGCGUAAGCGCUUUACUGGGCCGUAAUUGACGCUGAGGAACGAAAGCCAGGGUAGCAAAUGGGAUUAGAUACCCCUGUAGUC
RNAcentral lists this ribosomal RNA (460 nucleotides) under uncultured bacterium. RNAcentral's name for it is "partial 16S ribosomal RNA". It matches the Rfam family "Bacterial small subunit ribosomal RNA", at positions 338 to 795 of the family's 1533-position model. The record is from RNAcentral.